UGGGGAAUCUUGGGCAAUGGGGGAAACCCUGACCCAGCGACGCCGCGUGGGGGAUGAAGGCCUUCGGGUCGUAAACCCCUGUUAGGUGGGACGAACAUCUCUCAAUAAAUAGUUGAGGGAUUUGACGGUACCACCAGAGAAAGCCCCGGCUAACUCCGUGCCAGCAGCCGCGGUAAUACGGAGGGGGCGAGUGUUGUUCGGAAUUACUGGGCGUAAAGGGCGCGCAGGCGGCAUGGCAAGUCGAGUGUGAAAUCCCUUGGCUUAACUGAGGAAUGGCGCUCGAAACUACCUCGCUGGAGGGCGGGAGAGGGAAGUGGAACUCUCGGUGUAGGGGUGAAAUCUGUAGAUAUCGAGAGGAACACCGGUGGCGAAGGCGGCUUCCUGGCCCGUACCUGACGCUGAGGCGCGAAAGCGUGGGGAGCAAACA
This 427-nucleotide ribosomal RNA is filed under the name uncultured bacterium. RNAcentral describes it as "bacterial SSU rRNA". It matches the Rfam family "Bacterial small subunit ribosomal RNA", at positions 355 to 774 of the family's 1533-position model. The record is from RNAcentral.